CCAGACUUCCGAUUCAGGGGGGUCCAAAUGUUUUUAUAAAAUAAAAUUAAUAAUUAAAUUAAAAGAUAAAAAUAAAUUAAAAUAAUCAUUAACACGAUUAUAAUACCAUUUAAAUUUAAAAAAAUACACUUUAAACAUAUUUUCAAGUUCAUACAAAACAAUUUCAAAAAAUUAAAAUGGAUAAAAUUUGGGGUUUUGGCAAAUAAAAUCAUGAACUAUUUCGAAUUAACAAUUUUAACGUAACUUUUAAAAUGUGGCGAAGUAAA
RNAcentral lists this long non-coding RNA (266 nucleotides) under Salvia miltiorrhiza (redroot sage). RNAcentral's name for it is "long non-coding RNA (SMIL_LNC010741)". The record is from RNAcentral. Lineage: Eukaryota; Viridiplantae; Streptophyta; Magnoliopsida; Lamiales; Lamiaceae.